RNAcentral lists this ribosomal RNA (1143 nucleotides) under Salmonella enterica subsp. enterica serovar Enteritidis. RNAcentral's name for it is "partial 23S ribosomal RNA". It matches the Rfam family "Bacterial large subunit ribosomal RNA", at positions 161 to 1344 of the family's 2925-position model. Lineage: Bacteria; Pseudomonadati; Pseudomonadota; Gammaproteobacteria; Enterobacterales; Enterobacteriaceae. The record is from RNAcentral.
AAUCCAUAGGUUAAUGAGGCGAACCGGGGGAACUGAAACAUCUAAGUACCCCGAGGAAAAGAAAUCAACCGAGAUUCCCCCAGUAGCGGCGAGCGAACGGGGAGGAGCCCAGAGCCUGAAUCAGCAUGUGUGUUAGUGGAAGCGUCUGGAAAGGCGCGCGAUACAGGGUGACAGCCCCGUACACAAAAGCGCAUGUGCUGUGAGCUCGAUGAGUAGGGCGGGACACGUGGUAUCCUGUCUGAAUAUGGGGGGACCAUCCUCCAAGGCUAAAUACUCCUGACUGACCGAUAGUGAACCAGUACCGUGAGGGAAAGGCGAAAAGAACCCCGGCGAGGGGAGUGAAAAAGAACCUGAAACCGUGUACGUACAAGCAGUGGGAGCACCCUUUGGGUGUGACUGCGUACCUUUUGUAUAAUGGGUCAGCGACUUAUAUUCUGUAGCAAGGUUAACCGAAUAGGGGAGCCGGAGGGAAACCGAGUCUUAACCGGGCGUUAAGUUGCAGGGUAUAGACCCGAAACCCGGUGAUCUAGCCAUGGGCAGGUUGAAGGUUGGGUAACACUAACUGGAGGACCGAACCGACUAAUGUUGAAAAAUUAGCGGAUGACCUGUGGCUGGGGGUGAAAGGCCAAUCAAACCGGGAGAUAGCUGGUUCUCCCCGAAAGCUAUUUAGGUAGCGCCUCGUGAAUUCAUCUCCGGGGGUAGAGCACUGUUUCGGCUAGGGGGCCAUCCCGGCUUACCAACCCGAUGCAAACUGCGAAUACCGGAGAAUGUUAUCACGGGAGACACACGGCGGGUGCUAACGUCCGUCGUGAAGAGGGAAACAACCCAGACCGCCAGCUAAGGUCCCAAAGUCAUGGUUAAGUGGGAAACGAUGUGGGAAGGCCCAGACAGCCAGGAUGUUGGCUUAGAAGCAGCCAUCAUUUAAAGAAAGCGUAAUAGCUCACUGGUCGAGUCGGCCUGCGCGGAAGAUGUAACGGGGCUAAACCAUGCACCGAAGCUGCGGCAGCGACACUGUGUGUUGUUGGGUAGGGGAGCGUUCUGUAAGCCUGCGAAGGUGGCCUGUGAGGGUUGCUGGAGGUAUCAGAAGUGCGAAUGCUGACAUAAGUAACGAUAAAGCGGGUGAAAAGCCCGCUCGCCGGAAGA